Molecule: small nuclear RNA, 102 nt
Filed under: Chelonia mydas (Green sea turtle)
Lineage: Eukaryota; Metazoa; Chordata; Testudines; Cheloniidae
Source: RNAcentral
CUGCCUUCCAGCACAUAUACUAAAAUUGGAAUGAUACAGAGAAGAUUAGCAUGGCCCCUACGCAAGGAUGACACGCAAAUUCGUGAAGCACUCUCUUAUAUU